AGUCCCUUCUUGUGUGCUUCGACAGUCACUAUUCAUGGGACUCAACAUACAACAGGACACUAUCUUGUGGUCUCCAGAGACGAGUACAACCUGUGCUAUGGGAAACUGGUACACAUCUUUGUGGAAACUGGCCCGGAGGUGAUGCCAAUUUUUCUUUUUCGCAUAACGCCAUCAACCUUCCUACUAGACCUCAUGCUAUACCAUCUUGAAUCUCAGAAUAUCACUGCUCAACCAUGAUUAUGGAGGCGUUUCUGAAGAUCAGGAGUAGAGAUCACAAAACGAAAAACUUGGUGUCAGUAACAUGUCUUGAGGAGCUAAUCAGAGUUGCUGUGGGUCAUCGAAUUUGUCAGGAAGGCGACAUACAGGUGUAUUUAGUGGAUGAGUUAUCACUUCGCUGUAUGGUUGCUGGUGCUGAGAAAUGCCUCGAUGACAUUUUCAUUGUUAAAAAUGGACUAUGGAAACAAGAUCAGUCAACAUGUGUGAGUGCACCUUCACCAAUCCCACAAAUGCCUCUGCUCUCACGAAUUUAUUACCCUUGGGAGAGCCUCAGCAAGACAGUACUUGAUGCAUUGGAAGCAGACAAUGUUCUGCUUCCCUCUCAACGACAGGAAGUGGCACAUAUGGCAGCGUCAUGGCCCUGCAUAUCCAUUGAAGGUGGGAGGCACUCCUGAUAUUUAUUCACAGGCACCUGGUUGGUAUCAUUGAGAACGAAGGGAGCCAGCAGGCAUAAAAAAAUCAAGAGGGCUACAUACAUAAAUGCGUGAGGCAGUGAGGGCAGCAGAUGAACAUAGCAAGAAGUGGGAACAUCUCAUGUGAUACAUAGCGGUCAAAUGUUCCGCCACCAAAGUCAUGCACAAGUUAUUUGUAGUCUUUCCAGUAAUUUCCAAAAUAAAGGGUUAUUAUUGAAAAG
Ornithodoros turicata is the source of this 910-nucleotide RNA transcript. RefSeq lists it as uncharacterized. The record is from RefSeq and is a predicted model, not a curated record. Lineage: Eukaryota; Metazoa; Arthropoda; Arachnida; Ixodida; Argasidae. The transcript is spliced from 7 exons.